CCCGUAGCUCAGCUGGAUAGAGUACUGCCCUCCGAAGGCAGGGGUCACAGGUUCGAAUCCUGUCGGGUGCGCCA
RNAcentral lists this transfer RNA (74 nucleotides) under Alphaproteobacteria bacterium. RNAcentral describes it as "tRNA-Arg". It matches the Rfam family "tRNA". From Rfam's summary of the family: Transfer RNA (tRNA) molecules are approximately 80 nucleotides in length. The record is from RNAcentral. Lineage: Bacteria; Pseudomonadati; Pseudomonadota; Alphaproteobacteria.